Molecule: non-coding RNA, 241 nt
Organism: Cinara cedri
Lineage: Eukaryota; Metazoa; Arthropoda; Insecta; Hemiptera; Aphididae
Source: the annotation of a GenBank genome assembly
UUGAAAAGAUUACCUGACUAAUAUAUUUUGUACGGUUACUGUACUAUAUCAUACGCCUUUUCAAAACGAAUGUUAUAUUUUUCCGACGUGCGAAUUUCACCCCGUCGAUCCCUAAAUUAAUUAUACAAUAACCGUCCGAUACAAGUACGUCUCAACUCAUGUACGUAAUUGAAAUGUACACUUCCCUAAUCGUAUUUCAUCCGUCUAAUAGUAUACUGCCCUAACUGAAUAAACCGUUAGA